ACGAACGCUGGCGGCGUGCUUAACCCAUGCAAGUCGAACGAUGAAGCCUAGCUUGCUAGGUGGAUUAGUGGCGAACGGGUGAGUAAUACGUGAGUAACCUACCUUUAACUCUGGGAUAAGCCUGGGAAACUGGGUCUAAUACCGGAUACGACCAAUCUCCGCAUGGGGUGUUGGUGGAAAGCGUUAUGUAGUGGUUAUAGAUGGGCUCACGGCCUAUCAGCUUGUUGGUGAGGUAACGGCUCACCAAGGCGACGACGGGUAGCCGGCCUGAGAGGGUGACCGGCCACACUGGGACUGAGACACGGCCCAGACUCCUACGGGAGGCAGCAGUGGGGAAUAUUGCACAAUGGGCGCAAGCCUGAUGCAGCGACGCCGCGUGAGGGAUGACGGCCUUCGGGUUGUAAACCUCUGUUAGCAGGGAAGAAGAGAAAUUGACGGUACCUGCAGAGAAAGCGCCGGCUAACUACGUG
Molecule: ribosomal RNA, 470 nt
Filed under: uncultured bacterium
Lineage: Bacteria
Description: partial 16S ribosomal RNA
Rfam family: Bacterial small subunit ribosomal RNA
Source: RNAcentral